This 257-nucleotide long non-coding RNA is filed under the name Sus scrofa (pig). Its description in RNAcentral is "lncRNA (multiple genes)". The record is from RNAcentral. Lineage: Eukaryota; Metazoa; Chordata; Mammalia; Artiodactyla; Suidae.
CCCAUCUCUCCUAGAGGGUUGCUUUGGGAACAAGAGAGAAAGGAGUUAUCACACUGCUAUGUAACAGCGUUUUCCAAUUACUGAGCUAUUUCCAGGGAUCAUAUCACUCGCCUUUGGAUUACAUCACUCGCUUGAUGUCCGUAGACGUGGACCAGAGCUGAAAUUUACAAAGGAUGAAAAUACAGAAUGCAUGUGUGUAAAUGCACCUAAAAUAAAUGAAGAGCCUUCUUGCUGAAAUAAAGAGAUCAAACAUCUCA